AUUAGAUACCCUGGUAGUCCACGCUGUAAACGCUGUCGAUUUGGGGGCUGUGGGGUGAGCUUGGCGCCCGUAGCUAACGUGAUAAAUCGACCGCCUGGGGAGUACGGCCGCAAGGUUAAAACUCAAAUGAAUUGACGGGGGCCCGCACAAGCGGUGGAGCAUGUGGUUUAAUUCGAUGCAACGCGAAGAACCUUACCUACUCUUGACAUCCAAAGAAGAGACUAGAGAUAGUCUUGUGCCUUCGGGAACUUUGAGACAGGUGCUGCAUGGCUGUCGUCAGCUCGUGUUGUGAAAUGUUGGGUUAAGUCCCGCAACGAGCGCAACCCUUAUCCUUUGUUGCCAGCGAUUUGGUCGGGAACUCAAAGGAGACUGCCGGUGAUAAACCGGAGGAAGGUGGGGAUGACGUCAAGUCAUCAUGGCCCUUAUGUCCAGGGCUACACACGUGCUACAAUGGCAUAAUCAGAGGGAAGCAUCUCCGCAAGGAUAAGCGAAUCUCAUAAAUUAUGUCUCAGUUCAGAUUGCAGUCUGCAACUCGACUGCAUGAAGUCGGAAUCGCUAGUAAUCGCAGAUCAGCAAAGCUGCGGUGAAUACGUUCCCGGGCCUUGUACACACCGCCCGUCACACCACGGGAGUCGGUCGCGCCUGAAGCCGGUGGCCUAUCAGUAAUGGGGGAGCCGUCUAUGGCGAGAUUGGUAACUGGGGUGAAGUCGUAACAAGGUACC
Molecule: ribosomal RNA, 722 nt
Filed under: uncultured bacterium
Lineage: Bacteria
Description: bacterial SSU rRNA
Rfam family: Bacterial small subunit ribosomal RNA
Source: RNAcentral